Alnus glutinosa is the source of this 703-nucleotide long non-coding RNA. RefSeq lists it as uncharacterized. The transcript has 2 exons. NCBI's taxonomy places the organism in Eukaryota, Viridiplantae, Streptophyta, Magnoliopsida, Fagales, Betulaceae. The record is from RefSeq and is a predicted model, not a curated record.
UCUCGCCGAAGCAGACCCACCGAGCGAGAGAGAGAGAGAGAGAAAGAGAGAGUUCAAAUGAGAGAGAGAGGAGAGGAACAGAGAGUGAGACCGGAGAGAGAGAGAGUGAAAUAGGGAGAGAGAUGCUGAGAGAGGGGAAGUGAGAGAUCAGGAGACAGAGAGAGAGAUCGACGGGAGAGGAGAGAACCGGCGACCCGUCGACCUAGGUGGCGCGAUUCCUGUGGCCAGAACCGAAAUCCGGCGAGGCAGGGAGAGGUCCGGCGGGUUGUGAAACCAGAGGAGGCCGUGCCUCCAUGGGUCAUCGGAGGCACGAUUUUUGGCGGUUCCGGUGGCGAUUCCGGUGAACCCGUGACUCAGUGACCCGUUGACCCGAGACCCGGUGGCUUGAAGGCUGAUUUUUCGGCGAAACCUAGGGGGAAUUUCCGGUGGUUUCCCUUAGCCUAAAUAGAAACUUUCAAAGGGGAUGAGCGAUUAGGUCAUUCGGGAUUGGUCCUUUUGGACGUGCCAAACAUAACGUGCGCCGCACAUAGUUAAAUUGCGGAGGUGGGCCGGUGGAGGGUAAAACUGACACACUAUAUAAAUGAUUCAAGCACCAUGCUGCAUUAGAUCUAUUUAUAUGUUAUUUAACUCUUUCUUUACCUGCUAAUUAUAUGUGAAUUUUAUUUAGAAUUUCUGAAAAAUAUCAUACUUUUGUUUGUUGUGU